AGAUUGAACGCUGGCGGCAUGCCUUACACAUGCAAGUCGAACGGCAGCACGGGAGCAAUCCUGGUGGCGAGUGGCGAACGGGUGAGUAAUACAUCGGAACGUGCCCAAUCGUGGGGGAUAACGCAGCGAAAGCUGUGCUAAUACCGCAUAAGAUCUACGGAUGAAAGCAGGGGAUCGCAAGACCUUGCGCGAAUGGAGCGGCCGAUGGCAGAUUAGGUAGUUGGUGAGGUAAAGGCUCACCAAGCCUUCGAUCUGUAGCUGGUCUGAGAGGACGACCAGCCACACUGGGACUGAGACACGGCCCAGACUCCUACGGGAGGCAGCAGUGGGGAAUUUGGACAAUGGGCGAAGCCUGAUCCAGCCAUGCCGCGUGCAGGAUGAAGGCCUUGGUUGUAACUGCUUUGUACGGAACGAAAGUCUACUUACUAAUAAGAGGAUCAUGACGUACGAAGAAUAAGACACGACUA
RNAcentral lists this ribosomal RNA (467 nucleotides) under uncultured soil bacterium. Its description in RNAcentral is "bacterial SSU rRNA". It matches the Rfam family "Bacterial small subunit ribosomal RNA", at positions 26 to 499 of the family's 1533-position model. The record is from RNAcentral.